RNAcentral lists this transfer RNA (70 nucleotides) under Ursus thibetanus mupinensis. RNAcentral's name for it is "tRNA-Thr". The record is from RNAcentral. Lineage: Eukaryota; Metazoa; Chordata; Mammalia; Carnivora; Ursidae.
AUCUUUGUAGUAUAGUAAUUACCUUGGUCUUGUAAGCCAAAAACGGAGAAUACCUACCCUCCCCGGGACC